This 253-nucleotide ribosomal RNA is filed under the name uncultured bacterium. RNAcentral's name for it is "partial 16S ribosomal RNA". It matches the Rfam family "Bacterial small subunit ribosomal RNA", at positions 524 to 776 of the family's 1533-position model. The record is from RNAcentral.
UACGUAGGGUGCGAGCGUUGCCCGGAUUUAUUGGGCGUAAAGGGCGCGUAGGCGGCCACGCACGUCCGUUGUGAAAUCGCCCGGCUCAACUGGGCGGGGUCAGCGGAUACGGCGCGGCUGGAGCAAGCUAGGGGGCAAUGGAAUUCCCGGUGUAGUGGUGGAAUGCGUAGAUAUCGGGAGGAACACCAGUGGCGAAGGCGACUUCCUGGCCUGUUCUUGACGCUGAGGCGCGAAAGCUAGGGGAGCAAACGGG